UUUAUUUCAGUUCAGCUUUACCCAGGACAGUGCUGGAGCCCGGUCACCCAAGAGAGCAGAUCCGUGUGUGGCUCUUCUGAAUCCUAGGAUUGUUAAAUAUUUACCAGCUCACAGCUGGCUACACUGGCUUGUUUCAUUGUGUGUAGAGGCAAGCAUUGUUAUCUAUGAAGAUCGCUUCAGCAUAGGAGAGGGGCCUGGGCCCACAGGCUACAGAAGCACGGUGAAAGGAAAUGAGCGCACUGAGCUGAGCACACCAGUACAGUGGAGUGCAGGACUGUGCCUAAGCAGGUCUGUUCAUUAGCAGCUGUAUGGUGGAUCCAGACACUCUCUGAGGUUUGCCAAAUGGACAAAGAGACCAAAGGUUCCCCAAAAUUCAAUCAGAAAGGGCCUCCUUGGAAGGAAUAAAGACUGGGAAGGAUGUU
Molecule: long non-coding RNA, 422 nt
Organism: Tupaia belangeri chinensis (Chinese tree shrew)
Lineage: Eukaryota; Metazoa; Chordata; Mammalia; Scandentia; Tupaiidae
Exons: 3
Source: RefSeq, a predicted model, not a curated record